This 661-nucleotide ribosomal RNA is filed under the name fungal sp. RNAcentral describes it as "eukaryotic LSU rRNA". The stretch from base 99 to 661 matches the Rfam family "Eukaryotic large subunit ribosomal RNA", at positions 1 to 575 of the family's 3401-position model. The record is from RNAcentral. Lineage: Eukaryota; Fungi.
AGUGGCGGUCCCGCCGCAGCUUCCAUCGCGUAGUAGCUAACACCUCGCGACUGGAGAGCGGCGCGGCCACGCCGUAAAACACCCAACUCUUCUGAAGUUGACCUCGAAUCAGGUAGGAAUACCCGCUGAACUUAAGCAUAUCAAUAAGCGGAGGAAAAGAAACCAACAGGGAUUGCCCCAGUAACGGCGAGUGAAGCGGCAACAGCUCAAAUUUGAAAUCUGGCUCUCGGGCCCGAGUUGUAAUUUGUAGAGGAUGCUUUUGGUGAGGUGCCUUCCGAGUUCCCUGGAACGGGACGCCAUAGAGGGUGAGAGCCCCGUCUGGUUGGACGCCGAACCUCUGUAAAGCUCCUUCGACGAGUCGAGUAGUUUGGGAAUGCUGCUCUAAAUGGGAGGUAUAUGUCUUCUAAAGCUAAAUACCGGCCAGAGACCGAUAGCGCACAAGUAGAGUGAUCGAAAGAUGAAAAGAACUUUGAAAAGAGAGUUAAACAGUACGUGAAAUUGUUGAAAGGGAAGCGCUUGUGACCAGACUUGGGCUUGGUUGAUCAUCCGGGGUUCUCCCCGGUGCACUCUUCCGGCCCAGGCCAGCAUCAGUUCGCCCUGGGGGACAAAGGCAUCGGGAACGUGGCUCUCUCCGGGGAGUGUUAUAGCCCGUUGCGUAAUA